Molecule: small RNA, 704 nt
Filed under: Pongo abelii (Sumatran orangutan)
Lineage: Eukaryota; Metazoa; Chordata; Mammalia; Primates; Hominidae
Description: retained intron
Source: RNAcentral
CUCGACUACCAAGAUGGCGGCCCCCAGGAGCUGUGCCCUAUGGAGCUAUUGCGGUCGUGGGUGGUCGUGGGCGAUGCGGGGCUGCCAGCUCCUCGGGCUUCGUAGCUCUUGGCCCGGGGCCCCACUAAGUGCUCGGCUCUUGUCCCAAGAGAAGCGGGCAACGGAAACGCACUUCGGGUUUGAGACUGUGUCGGAAGAAGAGAAGGGAGGCAAAGCCAGGCGCGAUGGUUCACACCUGUAAUCCCAGCACUUUGGGAGGCCGAGGUAGGCACUUGAAGUCAGGAGUUUGAGACCAGCCUGGCCAACAUGGUGAAACCUCAUCUCUACUAAAAAUACAAAAAAAAAUUAGCCAAGCAUGGUGGUGCAUGCCUGUAAUCACAGCUAAUCAGGAGGCUGAGGCAGGCGAAUUGCUUGAAGCUGGGAGGUGGAGAUUGCAGUGAGCUGAGAUUGUGCCACUGCACACUAGCCUGGGCGACAGAGUGAGACUGUCUCAAAAAAAAAAAGAAAAAAAAACUUCUAAUAAAAAAUUAGAAACCUUGAGAAUUAAAUUCUUUUAUUUCCUUGUAAAAAAAUUGCCAAGAGUAGGCCAGGCGCAGUGGCUCACACCUGUAAUCCCAGCACUUUGGGAGGCCAAGGCGGGCGGAUCAUGAGGAGGAGAUUGAGACCAUCCUGGCUAACACGGUGAAACCCCGUCUCUACUAAAA